GACGAACGCUGGCGGCGUGCCUAAUACAUGCAAGUUGAGCGCUGAAGGUUGGUACUUGUACCAACUGGAUGAGCAGCGAACGGGUGAGUAACGCGUGUGUAAUCUGCCUUGGAGCGGGGGACAACAUUUGGAAACGAAUGCUAAUACCGCAUAAAAACUUUAAACACAAGUUUUAAGUUUGAAAGAUGCAAUUGCAUCACUCAAAGAUGAUCCCGCGUUGUAUUAGCUAGUUGGUGAGGUAAAGGCUCACCAAGGCGAUGAUACAUAGCCGACCUGAGAGGGUGAUCGGCCAGAUUGGGACUGAGACACGGCCCAAAAUCCUACGGGAGGCAGCAGGAGGGAAUCUUCGGCAAUGGACGGAAGUCUGAACGAGCAACGCCGCGUGAGUGAAGAAGGGUUUCGGGUCGUAAAACUCUGUUGGUAGAGAAGAACGUUGGUGAGAGUGGAAAGCUCAUCAAGUGACGGUAACUACACAGAAAGGGACGGCUAACUACGUG
This 497-nucleotide ribosomal RNA is filed under the name uncultured bacterium. Its description in RNAcentral is "partial 16S ribosomal RNA". It matches the Rfam family "Bacterial small subunit ribosomal RNA", at positions 28 to 507 of the family's 1533-position model. The record is from RNAcentral.